Molecule: long non-coding RNA, 417 nt
Filed under: Salvia miltiorrhiza (redroot sage)
Lineage: Eukaryota; Viridiplantae; Streptophyta; Magnoliopsida; Lamiales; Lamiaceae
Description: long non-coding RNA (SMIL_LNC014289)
Source: RNAcentral
AGAGUCAGAGCCAGAGCCAAAUCGCCAAAGAGUAGAAGUCUGCCCCAAGGAAGGAAAUCCAGAACUACUAGACAGAGCGGAAUGAUGAGGACAGAAUCCAGCUCUGUAAUUAGGGGACAACGACCUGACAAGUUAUAAUCUAAUAAUAGCCUUAAUUAGUUUAAUGGCGAGCAUGCGGAAUAGAUGACCAAACGAAUUUACUACUUUACCCCAACUGUAAUGCCUAUAAAUACCUACGAUGAUGAAAUAAAGCACACGCUCUCUCUUUUACUGCUUUAAGAACUCUUCUCUUUCCUUUCUCUCUAGAGUUUGAACUAAUAAAAUUACAUAUAUAAAUAAAAUAUCUAAAUUGUUAGAGUUAUGUUUGUUAGAUAGUUGACAAUUGGAGUCAUGGUUGAAUAUAAUUUCAUAUUUGAU